RNAcentral lists this RNase P RNA (343 nucleotides) under chicken gut metagenome. RNAcentral describes it as "Bacterial RNase P class A". It matches the Rfam family "Bacterial RNase P class A". From Rfam's summary of the family: Ribonuclease P (RNase P) is a ubiquitous endoribonuclease, found in archaea, bacteria and eukarya as well as chloroplasts and mitochondria. The record is from RNAcentral.
GCCGCUGCCAGUCUCGCGACUGGGAGAGGAAAGUCCGGGCAACGCAGAGCACCGUCCUUCCUAACGGGAAGAUGUCCGUAAAGGCAUAGCAGCGUAACAGAAAACGACCGCCUUGAUUUUCAAGGUAAGGGUGAAAAGGCGGGGUAAGAGCCCACCGCGGAAGUGGCGACACGUUCCGGCCGUACGUCUGACGGGUUGCAAGACCAUGUAUACCGGCGCCAUCAGGGUUGCUCGCCCGAUGCCGGGGGGUAGGUCGCUGGAGACUGCGGGUGACCGCAGCCGUAGAUAAAUGGCAGAGGCCUGCCGUCCUGCGGCAGGUACAGAACCCGGCUUAUACGCCCUG